RNAcentral lists this ribosomal RNA (468 nucleotides) under uncultured bacterium. RNAcentral's name for it is "partial 16S ribosomal RNA". It matches the Rfam family "Bacterial small subunit ribosomal RNA", at positions 28 to 507 of the family's 1533-position model. The record is from RNAcentral.
GACGAACGCUGGCGGCGUGCUUAACACAUGCAAGUCGAACGGAAAGGCCCUGCUCUUGUGGGGUGCUCGUGUGGCGAACGGGGGAGUAACACGCGAGUAACCUGCCCUUGACUUUGGGAUAACUUCAGGAAACUGGGGCUAAUACCGGAUAGGAGCUCCUGCUGCAUGGUGGGGGAUGGAAAGUUUCGGCGGUUGGGGAUGGACUCGCGGCUUAUCAGCUUGUUUGUGGGGUAGUGGCUUACCAAGGCUUCGAAGGAUAGCCGGCCUGGGAGGGUGACCGGCCACAUGGGGACUGAGAUACGGCGCAGUCGCCUACGGGAGGCAGCAGGGGGGAGUAUUGCGCAGUGGGCGGAAGCCUGAUGCAGCAACGUCGCGUGCGUGAUGACGGGCUUCGAGUUGUAAACAGCUGUCGCCUGUGACGAAGCGUGAGUGACGGUAAUGGGUAAAGAAGCAACGGCUAACUACGUG